Molecule: ribosomal RNA, 456 nt
Filed under: uncultured bacterium
Lineage: Bacteria
Description: bacterial SSU rRNA
Rfam family: Bacterial small subunit ribosomal RNA
Source: RNAcentral
UGGCUAACUCCUACGGGAGGCAGCAGUGGGGAAUAUUGGACAAUGGGCGAAAGCCUGAUCCAGCAAUGCCGCGUGAGUGAUGAAGGCCUUAGGGUUGUAAAGCUCUUUUACCCGAGAUGAUAAUGACAGUAUCGGGAGAAUAAGCUCCGGCUAACUCCGUGCCAGCAGCCGCGGUAAUACGGAGGGAGCUAGCGUUGUUCGGAAUUACUGGGCGUAAAGCGCACGUAGGCGGCUUUUUAAGUCAGGGGUGAAAUCCCGGGGCUCAACCCCGGAACUGCCCUUGAAACUGGGAAGCUAGAAUCUUGGAGAGGCGAGUGGAAUUCCGAGUGUAGAGGUGAAAUUCGUAGAUAUUCGGAAGAACACCAGUGGCGAAGGCGACUCGCUGGACAAGUAUUGACGCUGAGGUGCGAAAGCGUGGGGAGCAAACAGGAUUAGAAACCCCUGUAGUCCAGCUGG